This 893-nucleotide ribosomal RNA is filed under the name Escherichia coli. Its description in RNAcentral is "partial 23S ribosomal RNA". It matches the Rfam family "Bacterial large subunit ribosomal RNA", at positions 609 to 1506 of the family's 2925-position model. Lineage: Bacteria; Pseudomonadati; Pseudomonadota; Gammaproteobacteria; Enterobacterales; Enterobacteriaceae. The record is from RNAcentral.
UGUAUAAUGGGUCAGCGACUUAUAUUCUGUAGCAAGGUUAACCGAAUAGGGGAGCCGAAGGGAAACCGAGUCUUAACUGGGCGUUAAGUUGCAGGGUAUAGACCCGAAACCCGGUGAUCUAGCCAUGGGCAGGUUGAAGGUUGGGUAACACUAACUGGAGGACCGAACCGACUAAUGUUGAAAAAUUAGCGGAUGACUUGUGGCUGGGGGUGAAAGGCCAAUCAAACCGGGAGAUAGCUGGUUCUCCCCGAAAGCUAUUUAGGUAGCGCCUCGUGAAUUCAUCUCCGGGGGUAGAGCACUGUUUCGGCAAGGGGGUCAUCCCGACUUACCAACCCGAUGCAAACUGCGAAUACCGGAGAAUGUUAUCACGGGAGACACACGGCGGGUGCUAACGUCCGUCGUGAAGAGGGAAACAACCCAGACCGCCAGCUAAGGUCCCAAAGUCAUGGUUAAGUGGGAAACGAUGUGGGAAGGCCCAGACAGCCAGGAUGUUGGCUUAGAAGCAGCCAUCAUUUAAAGAAAGCGUAAUAGCUCACUGGUCGAGUCGGCCUGCGCGGAAGAUGUAACGGGGCUAAACCAUGCACCGAAGCUGCGGCAGCGACGCUUAUGCGUUGUUGGGUAGGGGAGCGUUCUGUAAGCCUGCGAAGGUGUGCUGUGAGGCAUGCUGGAGGUAUCAGAAGUGCGAAUGCUGACAUAAGUAACGAUAAAGCGGGUGAAAAGCCCGCUCGCCGGAAGACCAAGGGUUCCUGUCCAACGUUAAUCGGGGCAGGGUGAGUCGACCCCUAAGGCGAGGCCGAAAGGCGUAGUCGAUGGGAAACAGGUUAAUAUUCCUGUACUUGGUGUUACUGCGAAGGGGGGACGGAGAAGGCUAUGUUGGCCGGGCGACGGUUGUC